AGUGAACGCUGGCGGUAGGCCUAACACAUGCAAGUCGAACGGCAGCACAGUAAGAGCUUGCUCUUACGGGUGGCGAGUGGCGGACGGGUGAGGAAUACAUCGGAAUCUACUUUUUCGUGGGGGAUAACGUAGGGAAACUUACGCUAAUACCGCAUACGACCUACGGGUGAAAGCAGGGGAUCUUCGGACCUUGCGCGAUUGAAUGAGCCGAUGUCGGAUUAGCUAGUUGGCGGGGUAAAGGCCAACCAAGGCGACGAUCCGUAGCUGGUCUGAGAGGAUGGUCAGCCACACUAGAACGUGAACACGGUCCAGACUCCUACGAGAGGCAGCAGUGGGGAAUAUUGGACAAUGGGCGCAAGCCUGAUCCAGCCAUACCGCGUGGGUGAAGGAGGCCUUCGGGUUGUAAAGCCCUUUUGUUGGGAAAGAAAAGCAGCAGGUUAAUACCCCGCUGUUCUGACGGUACCCAAAGAAUAAGCACCGGCUAACUUCGUG
Molecule: ribosomal RNA, 492 nt
Filed under: uncultured bacterium
Lineage: Bacteria
Description: partial 16S ribosomal RNA
Rfam family: Bacterial small subunit ribosomal RNA
Source: RNAcentral